GGGUUGUGAGGUUAAGCGACUAAGCGUACACGGUGGAUGCCCUGGCAGUCAGAGGCGAUGAAGGACGUGCUAAUCUGCGAUAAGCGUCGGUAAGGUGAUAUGAACCGUUAUAACCGGCGAUUUCCGAAUGGGGAAACCCAGUGUGAUUCGUCACACUAUCAUUAACUGAAUCCAUAGGUUAAUGAGGCGAACCGGGGGAACUGAAACAUCUAAGUACCCCGAGGAAAAGAAAUCAACCGAGAUUCCCCCAGUAGCGGCGAGCGAACGGGGAGCAGCCCAGAGCCUGAAUCAGUGUGUGUGUUAGUGGAAGCGUCUGGAAAGGCGCGCGAUACAGGGUGACAGCCCCGUACACAAAAAUGCACAUAUUGUGAGCUCGAUGAGUAGGGCGGGACACGUGGUAUCCUGUCUGAAUAUGGGGGGACCAUCCUCCAAGGCUAAAUACUCCUGACUGACCGAUAGUGAACCAGUACCGUGAGGGAAAGGCGAAAAGAACCCCGGCGAGGGGAGUGAAAAAGAACCUGAAACCGUGUACGUACAAGCAGUGGGAGCACGCUUAGGCGUGUGACUGCGUACCUUUUGUAUAAUGGGUCAGCGACUUAUAUUCUGUAGCAAGGUUAACCGAAUAGGGGAGCCGAAGGGAAACCGAGUCUUAACUGGGCGUUAAGUUGCAGGGUAUAGACCCGAAACCCGGUGAUCUAGCCAUGGGCAGGUUGAAGGUUGGGUAACACUAACUGGAGGACCGAACCGACUAAUGUUGAAAAAUUAGCGGAUGACUUGUGGCUGGGGGUGAAAGGCCAAUCAAACCGGGAGAUAGCUGGUUCUCCCCGAAAGCUAUUUAGGUAGCGCCUCGUGAAUUCAUCUCCGGGGGUAGAGCACUGUUUCGGCAAGGGGGUCAUCCCGACUUACCAACCCGAUGCAAACUGCGAAUACCGGAGAAUGUUAUCACGGGAGACACACGGCGGGUGCUAACGUCCGUCGUGAAGAGGGAAACAACCCAGACCGCCAGCUAAGGUCCCAAAGUCAUGGUUAAGUGGGAAACGAUGUGGGAAGGCCCAGACAGCCAGGAUGUUGGCUUAGAAGCAGCCAUCAUUUAAAGAAAGCGUAAUAGCUCACUGGUCGAGUCGGCCUGCGCGGAAGAUGUAACGGGGCUAAACCAUGCACCGAAGCUGCGGCAGCGACGCUUAUGCGUUGUUGGGUAGGGGAGCGUUCUGUAAGCCUGCGAAGGUGUACUGUGAGGUAUGCUGGAGGUAUCAGAAGUGCGAAUGCUGACAUAAGUAACGAUAAAGCGGGUGAAAAGCCCGCUCGCCGGAAGACCAAGGGUUCCUGUCCAACGUUAAUCGGGGCAGGGUGAGUCGACCCCUAAGGCGAGGCCGAAAGGCGUAGUCGAUGGGAAACAGGUUAAUAUUCCUGUACUUGGUGUUACUGCGAAGGGGGGACGGAGAAGGCUAUGUUGGCCGGGCGACGGUUGUCCCGGUUUAAGCGUGUAGGCUGGUUUUCCAGGCAAAUCCGGAAAAUCAAGGCUGAGGCGUGAUGACGAGGCACUACGGUGCUGAAGCAACAAAUGCCCUGCUUCCAGGAAAAGCCUCUAAGCAUCAGGUAACAUCAAAUCGUACCCCAAACCGACACAGGUGGUCAGGUAGAGAAUACCAAGGCGCUUGAGAGAACUCGGGUGAAGGAACUAGGCAAAAUGGUGCCGUAACUUCGGGAGAAGGCACGCUGAUAUGUAGGUGAAGUCCCUCGCGGAUGGAGCUGAAAUCAGUCGAAGAUACCAGCUGGCUGCAACUGUUUAUUAAAAACACAGCACUGUGCAAACACGAAAGUGGACGUAUACGGUGUGACGCCUGCCCGGUGCCGGAAGGUUAAUUGAUGGGGUCAGCGCAAGCGAAGCUCUUGAUCGAAGCCCCGGUAAACGGCGGCCGUAACUAUAACGGUCCUAAGGUAGCGAAAUUCCUUGUCGGGUAAGUUCCGACCUGCACGAAUGGCGUAAUGAUGGCCAGGCUGUCUCCACCCGAGACUCAGUGAAAUUGAACUCGCUGUGAAGAUGCAGUGUACCCGCGGCAAGACGGAAAGACCCCGUGAACCUUUACUAUAGCUUGACACUGAACAUUGAGCCUUGAUGUGUAGGAUAGGUGGGAGGCUUUGAAGUGUGGACGCCAGUCUGCAUGGAGCCGACCUUGAAAUACCACCCUUUAAUGUUUGAUGUUCUAACGUUGACCCGUGAUCCGGGUUGCGGACAGUGUCUGGUGGGUAGUUUGACUGGGGCGGUCUCCUCCUAAAGAGUAACGGAGGAGCACGAAGGUUGGCUAAUCCUGGUCGGACAUCAGGAGGUUAGUGCAAUGGCAUAAGCCAGCUUGACUGCGAGCGUGACGGCGCGAGCAGGUGCGAAAGCAGGUCAUAGUGAUCCGGUGGUUCUGAAUGGAAGGGCCAUCGCUCAACGGAUAAAAGGUACUCCGGGGAUAACAGGCUGAUACCGCCCAAGAGUUCAUAUCGACGGCGGUGUUUGGCACCUCGAUGUCGGCUCAUCACAUCCUGGGGCUGAAGUAGGUCCCAAGGGUAUGGCUGUUCGCCAUUUAAAGUGGUACGCGAGCUGGGUUUAGAACGUCGUGAGACAGUUCGGUCCCUAUCUGCCGUGGGCGCUGGAGAACUGAGGGGGGCUGCUCCUAGUACGAGAGGACCGGAGUGGACGCAUCACUGGUGUUCGGGUUGUCAUGCCAAUGGCACUGCCCGGUAGCUAAAUGCGGAAGAGAUAAGUGCUGAAAGCAUCUAAGCACGAAACUUGCCCCGAGAUGAGUUCUCCCUGACCCUUUAAGGGUCCUGAAGGAACGUUGAAGACGACGACGUUGAUAGGCCGGGUGUGUAAGCGCAGCGAUGCGUUGAGCUAACCGGUACUAAUGAACCGUGAGGCUUAACCUUACAACGCCGAAGGUGUUU
RNAcentral lists this ribosomal RNA (2931 nucleotides) under Escherichia coli. RNAcentral describes it as "23S ribosomal RNA". It matches the Rfam family "Bacterial large subunit ribosomal RNA". The record is from RNAcentral. Lineage: Bacteria; Pseudomonadati; Pseudomonadota; Gammaproteobacteria; Enterobacterales; Enterobacteriaceae.